Molecule: transfer RNA, 73 nt
Filed under: Camelus bactrianus (Bactrian camel)
Lineage: Eukaryota; Metazoa; Chordata; Mammalia; Artiodactyla; Camelidae
Also listed under: 2 other names
Rfam family: tRNA
About the family: Transfer RNA (tRNA) molecules are approximately 80 nucleotides in length. Their secondary structure includes four short double-helical elements and three loops (D, anti-codon, and T loops).
Source: Rfam by way of RNAcentral
GAGGGUAUAGUUCAAGUGGUAGAGCACAUGGCUAGCAUGCACGAGGCCCUGGGUUCAAUCCCUGGUACCUCCU